This 507-nucleotide ribosomal RNA is filed under the name uncultured eukaryote. RNAcentral's name for it is "eukaryotic LSU rRNA". It matches the Rfam family "Eukaryotic large subunit ribosomal RNA", at positions 1166 to 1672 of the family's 3401-position model. The record is from RNAcentral.
AACCUAACGUUGAGAUAAGGUGCCCAAAUUCACGCUCAUGAGACACCAUAAAAGGUGUUGGUUAGUUUAAACAGCCGGACUGUGGCCAUGGAAGUCGGCAGCAGCUAAGGAGUGUGUAACAACUCACCAGCCGAAUUAACCAGCCCUGAAAAUUGAUGGCGCUAAGCGUGAUACCGAUACUCAACCAUUAAGGCAAAUAGAAGCUUUAAUGAGUAAGAGGGCGUGAAUACUGUGCAGAAGGCUUGGAUGUGAAUCUGGCUGGAACAGUAUUUAGUGCAGAUCUUGGUGGUAGUAGCAAAUAUUCAAAUGAGAACUUUGAAGACCGAAGUGGAGAAGGGUUCCAUGAGAACAGCAUUUGUUCAUGGGUUACUCGAUCCUAAGACAUAGGGAAAUUCCUUGUAAUACAUGCGAUCUUACGACCGCAUUGUCAAAAGGGAAUGAGGUUGAUAUUCCUCAAGCUGGAUGUGGUGGCAACGUGGCAACACAAACAAGCUCGGAAACACCGGC